Non-coding RNA from Stereum hirsutum FP-91666 SS1, 97 nucleotides. The record is from the annotation of a RefSeq genome assembly. NCBI's taxonomy places the organism in Eukaryota, Fungi, Basidiomycota, Agaricomycetes, Russulales, Stereaceae.
AGCUCGGUAGCGUAACUGGUAACGCGUCUGUUCAUAGUGUUGCACUGAUCUCUUGCUACACGGUAGAAGAAUUCCAGUUCAAGUCUGGGUCGAGCUA